This 253-nucleotide ribosomal RNA is filed under the name uncultured bacterium. RNAcentral describes it as "partial 16S ribosomal RNA". It matches the Rfam family "Bacterial small subunit ribosomal RNA", at positions 524 to 776 of the family's 1533-position model. The record is from RNAcentral.
UACGUAGGGUGCGAGCGUUAAUCGGAAUUACUGGGCGUAAAGCGUGCGCAGGCGGUUCGUUAAGACAGAUGUGAAAUCCCCGGGCUUAACCUGGGAACUGCAUUUGUGACUGGCGAGCUAGAGUAUGGCAGAAGGGGGUAGAAUUCCACGUGUAGCAGUGAAAUGCGUAGAGAUGUGGAGGAAUACCGAUGGCGAAGGCAGCCCCCUGGGCCAAUACUGACGCUCAUGCACGAAAGCGUGGGGAGCAAACAGG